This 497-nucleotide ribosomal RNA is filed under the name uncultured bacterium. RNAcentral's name for it is "partial 16S ribosomal RNA". It matches the Rfam family "Bacterial small subunit ribosomal RNA", at positions 28 to 507 of the family's 1533-position model. The record is from RNAcentral.
GAUGAACGCUGGCGGCGUGCCUAAUACAUGCAAGUCGAGCGAACAGACGAGGAGCUUGCUCCUCUGACGUUAGCGGCGGACGGGUGAGUAACACGUGGAUAACCUACCUAUAAGACUGGGAUAACUUCGGGAAACCGGAGCUAAUACCGGAUAAUAUAUUGAACCGCAUGGUUCAUUAGUGAAAGACGGUUUUGCUGUCCCUAAUAGAUGGAUCCGCGUCGCAUUAGCUAGUUGGUAAGGUAACGGCUUACCAAGGCAACGAUGCGUAGCCGACCUGAGAGGGUGAUCGGCCACACUGGAACUGAGACACGGUCCAGACUCCUACGGGAGGCAGCAGUAGGGAAUCUUGCGCAAUGGGCGAAAGCCUGAUGCAGCAACGCCGCGUGAGUGAUGAAGGUCUUCGGAUCGUAAAGCUCUGUUAUUAGGGAAGAACAAAAGUGAAAUAAACUAUGCAUGUCUUGACGGUACCUAAUCAGAAAGCCACGGCUAACUACGUG